This 453-nucleotide ribosomal RNA is filed under the name uncultured bacterium. Its description in RNAcentral is "partial 16S ribosomal RNA". It matches the Rfam family "Bacterial small subunit ribosomal RNA", at positions 329 to 781 of the family's 1533-position model. The record is from RNAcentral.
GUCCAGACUCCUACGGGAGGCAGCAGUGGGGAAUAUUGCACAAUGGGGGGAACCCUGAUGCAGCGACGCCGCGUGAGUGAAGAAGUAUUUCGGUAUGUAAAGCUCUAUCAGCAGGGAAGAAAAACCGACCAUAGGGUCGCUAGACGGUACCUGAUUAAGAAGCCCCGGCUAACUACGUGCCAGCAGCCGCGGUAAUACGUAGGGGGCAAGCGUUAUCCGGAUUUACUGGGUGUAAAGGGAGCGUAGACGGUAGAGCAAGUAUGAAGUGAAAGACCGCGGCUGAACUGCGGGACUGCUUUGGAAACUGUUCAACUGGAGUGCUGGAGAGGUAAGCGGAAUUCCUAGUGUAGCGGUGAAAUGCGUAGAUAUUAGGAGGAACACCAGUGGCGAAGGCGGCUUACUGGACAGUAACUGACGUUGAGGCUCGAAAGCGUGGGGAGCAAACAGGAUUAG